CCAGAAGUCAGUCCACAGCCACUUUGCUUCACUGAUCUGGGCCUGUGUGGUGAGGCAGACUAUCAUGGUGGGGAGCACAUGGUGGACAGACCUACUCACCUCAUGGCAGCCUUGGAAGCAGAGAGAGUGUGGGAGAGACAAGAUAUGCCCUUCUAGGGGACACCCCCAGUGACCUACUCUUUCCAACUAGCCACCACCCUGCGUUUAUAGUUUAGACCAUGUCCCAAUAGUCCAUUCAGUUACAAACCCAUCUGUUAAUUAAUCUAUGAAUCCACUGAUGAGAUCAGGGCCCUCAUGACCCAAUCACUUCCCCCAAGCCACAGGUCUGGACAUUGCUGAACUGGGGACUGAAUCUUCAAUGCAUGAGGCUUUGGAGGACAUUCCAGAUCCAAACUAUAACAGACGGAACUGGAGGACAUUGUGUUAAGUAACAAAGGCUUGGCUUUAAGAGAAGGAAUCCUGGAAAGUGGAGACUACUACUGGCAUGUAGGAAGAAAAUAAAUUCCUUUUUGUUGCAACUUUUAUUUAGAUAUAACCGACUAUAGGAAAGUGUUCACUGAUUGUCACAAGGUCUGGGCACCAGCUCCACAGAAGCCUCCUUCAGGCUGCCCCUCCUACCUGCCUCUGCCCUCUCCCUGGGGGUCACCACCAGACUGACUUUUAACACCGUAAAUUUAUUGCUCAUUUUAAAGCUUAAUGUAAAUAGAAAAAUAUGUGAUAUUUACUUUUUCAUCCGUUGCUUCUUUUACUCAACAUGGGUUGUGAGAUUUAUCCAUGUUAUCACACACAACUGCC
Molecule: long non-coding RNA, 795 nt
Filed under: Marmota monax (woodchuck)
Lineage: Eukaryota; Metazoa; Chordata; Mammalia; Rodentia; Sciuridae
Source: RNAcentral